RNAcentral lists this long non-coding RNA (333 nucleotides) under Brachypodium distachyon (stiff brome). Its description in RNAcentral is "long non-coding RNA (BDIS_LNC000660)". Lineage: Eukaryota; Viridiplantae; Streptophyta; Magnoliopsida; Poales; Poaceae. The record is from RNAcentral.
GUGUUAGUGCUUCGGCUAUUGCAUCAUACUAUGGGUGUUCAUCAUUUGGACAUUUUAGUGAACCCAUGUAUUGAUGCUUGUAUCUCUAAAAGUGAAAAAAAAAGUAAAAUUGUUAGUUGCCUAUUCACCCCCGCUUUCUAGUCGACCAUACCGAUCUUUCAGAAGGUACAUCGCAACCAGUCGACGUGUGGUGAUCGCGGCGACAACGGGCUCAAUUCAGGCGGCAACUCUGGUGGUAAGAAAAAGAAACACCGCAAAUUUGAUAAGAGCAAAAUUAAAUGCUUUAAUUGUGAUGACAUGGGCCACUUUACCUCUGAAUGCCGUGAACCAAGA